Molecule: ribosomal RNA, 253 nt
Filed under: uncultured bacterium
Lineage: Bacteria
Description: partial 16S ribosomal RNA
Rfam family: Bacterial small subunit ribosomal RNA
Source: RNAcentral
UACAGAGGUGGCAAGCGUUGUUCGGAAUUACUGGGCGUAAAGGGCGCGUAGGCGGUUCGUUAAGUCCUGUGUGAAAUCCCCCGGCUCAACUGGGCGGGGUCAGCGGAUACGGCGUGGCUGGAGCAAGCUAGGGGGCAAUGGAAUUCCCGGUGUAGUGGUGGAAUGCGUAGAUAUCGGGAGGAACACCAGUGGCGAAGGCGGUUGCCUGGAGCUUUGCUGACGCUGAUGCGCGAAAGCGUGGGGAGCGAUCCGG